RNAcentral lists this ribosomal RNA (75 nucleotides) under Caerostris darwini. The record is from RNAcentral. Lineage: Eukaryota; Metazoa; Arthropoda; Arachnida; Araneae; Araneidae.
GAUCACCGAAGUCAAGCAUCAUCGGGCACGGUCAGUACUUGGGAGGGCGACCACCUGGGAACACCGCGUGCCGUU